This 383-nucleotide ribosomal RNA is filed under the name uncultured eukaryote. Its description in RNAcentral is "SSU rRNA". It matches the Rfam family "Eukaryotic small subunit ribosomal RNA", at positions 587 to 972 of the family's 1831-position model. The record is from RNAcentral.
AGCUCUGUAAGCGUAUACCAAAGUUGUUGCAGUUAAAACGCUCGUAGUCGGACUUUGGCAGUUCCGGGAGUGUGCGCGUCGUGUGCACGCUUUGCGGGGAUUGCUUUUGUGGUAUUGCGUGGGAUGAAGCAUAUUUAUUUAUGAACGUCCUUCGGCAACCACUUUUUACUGUGAGAAAAUCAGAGUGCUCAAAGCAGGCAUUUGCCGUGAAUGUAUUAGCAUGGAAUAAUAGAAUAGGACUUGGUUCUAUUUUGUUGGUUUGUUGGAACUGAGUAAUGAUUAAGAGGGACAGUUGGGGGCAUUUGUAUUUCGGCGCUAGAGGUGAAAUUCUUAGAUUGCCGAAAGACAAACUGCUGCGAAAGCGUCUGCCAAGGAUGUUUUCA